GGUUAAGCGACUAAGCGUACACGGUGGAUGCCCUGGCAGUCAGAGGCGAUGAAGGACGUGCUAAUCUGCGAAAAGCGUCGGUAAGGUGAUAUGAACCGUUACAGCCGGCGAUGUCCGAAUGGGGAAACCCAGUGCAAUUCGUUGCACUAUCGUUAACUGAAUACAUAGGUUAACGAGGCGAACCGGGGGAACUGAAACAUCUAAGUACCCCGAGGAAAAGAAAUCAACCGAGAUUCCCCCAGUAGCGGCGAGCGAACGGGGAGCAGCCCAGAGUCUGAAUCAGCUUGUGUGUUAGUGGAACGGUCUGGAAAGUCCGACGGUACAGGGUGAUAGUCCCGUACACCAAAAUGCACAGGCUGUGAACUCGAAGAGUAGGGCGGGACACGUGGUAUCCUGUCUGAAUAUGGGGGGACCAUCCUCCAAGGCUAAAUACUCCUGACUGACCGAUAGUGAACCAGUACCGUGAGGGAAAGGCGAAAAGAACCCCGGCGAGGGGAGUGAAAAAGAACCUGAAACCGUGUACGUACAAGCAGUGGGAGCACCUUCGGGUGUGACUGCGUACCUUUUGUAUAAUGGGUCAGCGACUUAUAUUCUGUAGCAAGGUUAACCGUAUAGGGGAGCCGCAGGGAAACCGAGUCUUAACUGGGCGUUAAGUUGCAGGGUAUAGACCCGAAACCCGGUGAUCUAGCCAUGGGCAGGUUGAAGGUUGGGUAACACUAACUGGAGGACCGAACCGACUAAUGUUGAAAAAUUAGCGGAUGACUUGUGGCUGGGGGUGAAAGGCCAAUCAAACCGGGAGAUAGCUGGUUCUCCCCGAAAGCUAUUUAGGUAGCGCCUCGUGAACUCAUCUUCGGGGGUAGAGCACUGUUUCGGCUAGGGGGUCAUCCCGACUUACCAACCCGAUGCAAACUACGAAUACCGAAGAAUGUUAUCACGGGAGACACACGGCGGGUGCUAACGUCCGUCGUGAAGAGGGAAACAACCCAGACCGCCAGCUAAGGUCCCAAAGUCAUGGUUAAGUGGGAAACGAUGUGGGAAGGCACAGACAGCCAGGAUGUUGGCUUAGAAGCAGCCAUCAUUUAAAGAAAGCGUAAUAGCUCACUGGUCGAGUCGGCCUGCGCGGAAGAUGUAACGGGGCUAAACCAUGCACCGAAGCUGCGGCAGCGACACUAUGUGUUGUUGGGUAGGGGAGCGUUCUGUAAGCCUGCGAAGGUGUGCUGUGAGGCAUGCUGGAGGUAUCAGAAGUGCGAAUGCUGACAUAAGUAACGAUAAAGCGGGUGAAAAGCCCGCUCGCCGGAAGACCAAGGGUUCCUGUCCAACGUUAAUCGGGGCAGGGUGAGUCGACCCCUAAGGCGAGGCCGAAAGGCGUAGUCGAUGGGAAACAGGUUAAUAUUCCUGUACUUGGUGUUACUGCGAAGGGGGGACGGAGAAGGCUAUGUUAGCCGGGCGACGGUUGUCCCGGUUUAAGCAUGUAGGCUGGUUGUCCAGGCAAAUCCGGAUAAUCAAGGCUGAGGUGUGAUGACGAGGCACUACGGUGCUGAAGUAACAAAUGCCCUGCUUCCAGGAAAAGCCUCUAAGCAUCAGGUAACAUUAAAUCGUACCCCAAACCGACACAGGUGGUCAGGUAGAGAAUACCAAGGCGCUUGAGAGAACUCGGGUGAAGGAACUAGGCAAAAUGGUGCCGUAACUUCGGGAGAAGGCACGCUGGUGUGUAGGUGAAGUCCCUGCGGAUGGAGCUGAGACCAGUCGAAGAUACCAGCUGGCUGCAACUGUUUAUUAAAAACACAGCACUGUGCAAACACGAAAGUGGACGUAUACGGUGUGACGCCUGCCCGGUGCCGGAAGGUUAAUUGAUGGGGUUAUCCGUAAGGAGAAGCUCUUGAUCGAAGCCCCGGUAAACGGCGGCCGUAACUAUAACGGUCCUAAGGUAGCGAAAUUCCUUGUCGGGUAAGUUCCGACCUGCACGAAUGGCGUAAUGAUGGCCAGGCUGUCUCCACCCGAGACUCAGUGAAAUUGAACUCGCUGUGAAGAUGCAGUGUACCCGCGGCAAGACGGAAAGACCCCGUGAACCUUUACUAUAGCUUGACACUGAACAUUGAGCCUUGAUGUGUAGGAUAGGUGGGAGGCUUUGAAGCGUGGACGCCAGUCUGCGUGGAGCCAACCUUGAAAUACCACCCUUUAAUGUUUGAUGUUCUAACGUUGGCCCCUGACCGGGGUUGCGGACAGUGUCUGGUGGGUAGUUUGACUGGGGCGGUCUCCUCCCAAAGCGUAACGGAGGAGCACGAAGGUUAGCUAAUCCUGGUCGGACAUCAGGAGGUUAGUGCAAUGGCAUAAGCUAGCUUGACUGCGAGCGUGACGGCGCGAGCAGGUGCGAAAGCAGGUCAUAGUGAUCCGGUGGUUCUGAAUGGAAGGGCCAUCGCUCAACGGAUAAAAGGUACUCCGGGGAUAACAGGCUGAUACCGCCCAAGAGUUCAUAUCGACGGCGGUGUUUGGCACCUCGAUGUCGGCUCAUCACAUCCUGGGGCUGAAGUAGGUCCCAAGGGUAUGGCUGUUCGCCAUUUAAAGUGGUACGCGAGCUGGGUUUAGAACGUCGUGAGACAGUUCGGUCCCUAUCUGCCGUGGGCGCUGGAGAAUUGAGGGGGGCUGCUCCUAGUACGAGAGGACCGGAGUGGACGCAUCACUGGUGUUCGGGUUGUCAUGCCAAUGGCACUGCCCGGUAGCUAAAUGCGGAAGAGAUAAGUGCUGAAAGCAUCUAAGCACGAAACUUGCCCCGAGAUGAGUUCUCCCUGAGACUUUAAGUCUCCUGAAGGAACGUUAAAGACGAUGACGUUGAUAGGCCGGGUGUGUAAGCGCAGCGAUGCGUUGAGCUAACCGGUACUAAUGAACCGUGAGGCUUAACCUU
Molecule: ribosomal RNA, 2902 nt
Filed under: Klebsiella pneumoniae
Lineage: Bacteria; Pseudomonadati; Pseudomonadota; Gammaproteobacteria; Enterobacterales; Enterobacteriaceae
Description: 23S ribosomal RNA
Rfam family: Bacterial large subunit ribosomal RNA
Source: RNAcentral